GAUUUCGCUGAAGACGCAGGAGCUUUACGCUCUGGUGUUUUUGGCUCGGUACCUGGAUCUGUUCACGGAAUUUAUCUCCGUGUACAACAGUAUAAUGAAGGUGGUGUUUAUAGUGAGCUCUCUUGCAAUUGUAUGGUGCAUGAGGAGGCACCGUGUUGUGAGACGCUCUUAUGACAAAGAACUCGAUACUUUUCGUCAUUACUUCCUUAUUGCUGCCAGUUUUGUCUUGGCUCUGUUGGUGCACGAGAAGUUCACAUUCACAGAGGUGACUUUCUUAAACAUUGAUCUCGUAAUUGCAGUGUUGUUGGUUUUUUCUUUUCUCUCUCUUUCUGUGUAGGAAACUAGGACCUAAGUUAGCUUGUUUGAAAGAAGAAUAUUCUGUGCGACGAGGUUUCAUAUACGAGACACAUCUUGCUUGUGUGCAUUUGAUGGAGUUCACAAAAUGUUUGUUGCCAUCCAUGGAUAACCGUAGAAGAAUCAAGGCCGAGUAACUUGGUAGUCUCAUGUGAAAAAUGCAAGCUGUCUAAGAAUCAUGUCGUAAAAGCUAAUCCAUAGUUAAGAAUAUGUAUAAAAAAGUUUAACCAAUUACUGAUUCAUUAAUGAUGGCUGGACAACCAGUCCAGCUAAACAAUUUUGAAUUACCAACUUUAUUUAAAUGUCGAGACUAAGAGGCACUUCAAACUGAAUGUAUGAUAAAUAAAAUUAUGGUUGCUGCACUUGUUGCCAUGACUGAUAGGAAGUAAUGGAUGUAACAAACUAACAAUAGCUUCCUAACAUUGUUCACUUCCACCCCUUUUCCCAAGUGGUUCUCUGCAGCAUAAACUUGCAAGUGAUGCUAUUAUAACUAACAGCACAUAUUCUAUUCUUUUACAUGCAAUUGAGAACAACAGGUGAUUCAAUGUGUUCUAGCUCUCUCCUGCAUUCUUAAAUUACAUGAAUCAUCUGCUUUAAAUUUCUUACAACUCGUUGCAGAUCUUCUGGGCAUUUUCAAUAUACUUGGAGGCAGUAGCCAUUCUUCCCCAGUUAGUGUUACUCCAACGAAGUGGGAAUGUGGAUAAUUUGACAGGGCAAUAUGUUUUCUUUCUUGGGUAUGUAUAUGCAUAAUUUAUGGUAUAGCAGUUGGUUAUGUGUACAGGUUCCUGUUUUGUCAUAGGAGUCUGAACUAUCUGUGACUUUUUCUACUACUCGUGGAAAACAAAAUGUCAGUUUAUCUGCAUUAUGCAUUCUGCCUUUUGUUUCUGGUCUUGAAAUACCAAUCUUAUUUUUUGUUUUUCUUGCUGAUCAACUAUGGAAAAACAGUAAUAUACAAACAUGAAGACUCCAUCUGUUUGAAGUAUUUCUAGCUAAUACUGAAGCCACUCUCAUUAAUGGUUCUCUUUUAAAAUAUUGUAGUUAUUUAAAUUCUACUUUCUGCAUGAGCGCACACAUAAUUGGACGUGCUCAUGCCACCAUAUGUAAAUCACAUAUGCCCUCUAUUCUUGUAUAUGAUAUGGUUAGAAUAUCUCAUCUUGAUUUUCAUUGCAUCUUGGCACAUAAGAUGUAUGUUUUGAGUCCUUCCCUUUCUGUUGCACUCCCCCCUUUUUAUAUUUUCUUCUGAGCAAAUGUCUUCAUUCUCCAAUUGGGACCUUCUCUUGAGUUGAUUUUUGCAGAAAUUCUAUUUCAACUAUAGGCCCAGUGUAGAUAGACGAAUUCUUUAUAGCGUAGGGUGAGCCUGCAGAGCAUAUUCAUGUGAUAUUCUUUUUGUUUUACAAAUAUCUUUUCUUUCUUUGGUGCAAUUAGCUUGGAGACGGUUAAUUACUUAAACUCUGCUUGAUAUGUGGGAGAAUAUGAGAGAGAGAGAGCGGUAAUGGUGAACUUCUUAGUUUGCUCAUGGAAGGAGGAAUAUUUGGCUACCAAAUCAAUCCCCUGAAGGCCUGAAAUUGAAGCAAACUCUUCUUUUCCAUUUUAUACUUUUCUGGAUAAUCAUCAUUUUUUAUGUGGUAUGCUUGAUUGCCAUUUUCCAUAUAUGGUCUCUUCCAUAUAGAACUACAUUCAUGUCCUCUGCUGUCUGAACAGAACAUAAGUCCUAGGGAAAGAUAUGUAUUUACAAGGCAAUUAAUUUUGAAGGGAGAGGAUUUUUGAAGGUCGGGCAGUUAGAAUUAAGUCAUUGUUGACUUGGAUUAAGCAAUCAAUUUUUGAAGGCACUAUAAAAGCAGCAAUUUUUCUAUCUAGGUUUACUAUAAGUGAGCAUGAAAUUCCAUACGCAUGCUCUCUAGUGGACAUAAAAUGAUGUACUUAUACUUGAAUCCAUACUUCUCUAAGCAGUGUGUGGAUAGUUGUUUGUUCAUUCAAGCCUAUCUUGCAAUGUACUCACCAAACAAUAUGUUGUGUCUGCAGGGCUUAUCGUGCUUUCUACAUCCUCAACUGGAUUUACCGCUAUUUUGCAGAGACACAUUUUAGUAGAUGGAUAUGUAAGCUUAUUAAGAAUUGAAAUAAAGACUACUUGUCAGAGUUGUUGCUUUGGGUAUUUCUGUCCUGACUUCCAUUUCUUUCCAUUUAUUGCACAGCUUGCGUCUCUGGUCUCGUCCAGACAGCACUCUAUGCUGAUUUCUUUUACUACUACUUUAUUAGCUGGAAAAACAAUGCAAAGCUUCAGCUGCCAGCUUGAGCCAGACAUCAGUAUGUUGAAGUAUCAAACUUCAUGAACAAUCACUGCUAAAGUAUUAAGUUUUAGUCAAGUUGGCUGGUAUACCCAUUUGUGCCAGUUCAUAUUGUAUGGGUUUAAGAGGGUAAAGUUACAAUAGUUUAUGCCAAAUGUUGAUUAGGCUGGUGGGUUUGUUGGAAUUGCCCAUCUUAUAGGGACUAUUAGAUUAGAUCAAACACCCAUGUUGAUGUAAGGUGCUAAUUUUUAAUAGUAACAGCACCCUUCUGUUAACUUUUAAUUUGUCUCAUGAUGUUUAUUUGGGAGGGCAAAAUUCAGAUUUGAUUAACGUGAGGGUUGAAUUCAAUGAUGAUACAGUUAACUAAGUGGUAAGCAUUUGCAGAAUAGUUUUGUUACAUUA
Molecule: unclassified non-coding RNA, 3041 nt
Filed under: Hevea brasiliensis (rubber tree)
Lineage: Eukaryota; Viridiplantae; Streptophyta; Magnoliopsida; Malpighiales; Euphorbiaceae
Source: RNAcentral